Molecule: non-coding RNA, 1280 nt
Organism: Bactrocera oleae (olive fruit fly)
Lineage: Eukaryota; Metazoa; Arthropoda; Insecta; Diptera; Tephritidae
Source: RefSeq, a predicted model, not a curated record
UCAGUGGUUCCGACAGCAGCUUGAGCAGCUGCUUGAUGAGAAAAGGACGGAUACAAAAUUUAAGAUUGAUAUUUGAAAAACUGAAGGACUAGUUCGCUAAUAUACAGACGGUCUUAGUUGAAAUUAUGAAUGUGGACCUCUCGAAUAUAAUUAUUAUAUGUAGCAAAACACUCAUAUAUAUUUCCUGUUUUAAACAUUUCAAAAACUAUUAGUUAUUCUGGAAUAUUCUCGACUUCUCACAUCUGGCAACUCCUGAAUUAUUUUUGCAAUCGACAGCAGCAAACUUCAGCUGUGAUUUUCUCUCCACUUAAAUCGCAAAUUAAAAGUAUUUUCUAUAAAAAAAAAACAAUUAUUUUAGCCACAAAACGUACGGAAAAUGGAAGUCUUUCACAAAUCAUUACUUAACGAGAGGCUUUCUUGGCGCGUACAGGUGAACACAUUUUGAACAACAAUCAUAGUAACAAGCUAAACGGUAAUGUAACAACAACACAUCGCGGAAAAAUAAAUAGCAUGCAAUGGUUGUCACACUGCCAACAACAACAACAACAAUAACGACAGCAAACUUAGCGAAUAAUACGAAUGCAUUUGUGUGGCUGGCGCUGUACACUGAGAAUGUAUGCGAGUCUGUGUGUGUGGGAGAGAAGAGGUGAGAACGAGAGGAGAUCGAACAGUGGGUACGAGUAAAUCGCUUGAAAAUAUAUGUAUUUAAAGUUAGUUGGGCUCAUUGGAACUCAUUGUCGUGCUGACACUGGCACCGACUGGUACAACAACAACAACGAAGAGGUUUCUACAAGUUUGCCUGAAUGUGUUCGCAAAACCAUAUCCAUAUGUUCACAUUCGCACAUAAAUACUAUUUUAGUAAUAAUGAGUGUAUUUUAACACGACCGUGUCGUCCAAUUCAGCAUCUUGACGUCGCAGCGUCACCGGGCCAUUGAGAAGUGUUUGAUUAUUUCGCGGACAUGCGAACUCUAAGUGCUACAUUUUUGUCGGCGCUCAACUCUCUCAACUGUUUUCUACUGAUGACGAGUUUUCUUCCAUUGAUUUCCAUUGAAAACAACUGAUAAGAGAUUGGUGGCUUAACAUACAUUGUUUGGAGUUUUGGGCGGGAGGGCUUGCCAAUGUGCUUUCAAGUAAUGAAAAUGAAUCUCCAAGGAUUAGGGAUGGUCACCGCAAGGAGCUUCGGUUGGAACUGGAUCAACACAAACAGCCUUUACUUUUAUGAAUAUUAAUUUUUUUCAAAAUACUGUCAAGUCAAGUCAAAUCAAAAUCUAAAUAAAUGA